GAUGAACGCUGGCGGCGCGCCUAACACAUGCAAGUCGAACGAUUAAAGCACCUUCGGGUGUGUAUAAAGUGGCGAACGGCUGAGUAACACGUGGGCAACCUGCCCCUCUCAUUGGGAUAGCCACGGGAAACCGUGGAUAAUACCGAAUACUUCGGGACUUCCGCAUGGAAGACUCGAGAAAGCUCCGGCGGAGAGGGAUGGGCCCGCGGCCUGUUAGCUUGUUGGUGGGGUAACGGCCUACCAAGGCAAUGAUGGGUAGCUGGGUUGAGAGACCGACCAGCCAGAUUGGGACUGAGACACGGCCCAGACUCCUACGGGAGGCAGCAGUGGGGAAUCUUGCACAAUGGGCGAAAGCCUGAUGCAGCGACGCCGCGUGCGGGAUGAAGGCCUUCGGGUUGUAAACCGCUUUCAGCAGGGACGAGGCGAAAGUGACGGUACCUGCAGAAGAAGCCCGG
RNAcentral lists this ribosomal RNA (455 nucleotides) under Lancefieldella parvula. Its description in RNAcentral is "bacterial SSU rRNA". It matches the Rfam family "Bacterial small subunit ribosomal RNA", at positions 28 to 495 of the family's 1533-position model. The record is from RNAcentral. Lineage: Bacteria; Bacillati; Actinomycetota; Coriobacteriia; Coriobacteriales; Atopobiaceae.